This 77-nucleotide transfer RNA is filed under the name Calophya schini. RNAcentral describes it as "tRNA-Asp". The record is from RNAcentral. Lineage: Eukaryota; Metazoa; Arthropoda; Insecta; Hemiptera; Calophyidae.
AAAGAAAUUAGUUAAAAAUUUACAUAACAUUGAUAUGUCAAAUCAAAAUUAUUUAGAUAUAUUUCUUUAUACCUCAA